Molecule: non-coding RNA, 63 nt
Filed under: unclassified sequences
Description: eL15-Euryarchaeota ribosomal protein leader
Rfam family: eL15-Euryarchaeota ribosomal protein leader
Source: RNAcentral
CCUGUCUACGCAGGUCGGGAUGUGAUUCCCACCGCCGCACGGAUCCGGGAAUUGAACCACACA